UUUUACGUGUUUGAGUGUCAACAACAUUGGGCAUCAUUGAAAAUGGCGAGUUCUUUCGGUGUGGAGCUUCGCCGACCUCCUCCGAUCUGUCGACUUUGGUGGGCGAUUAGCGUGAAAUACAUUUCGCAGAAGGAGUGAAAUGUCGACGCAAAAGGCCCGGAGACGGCAGCGAUCAGUCUACGCUUCGCUCGACGCCCGUUUCAUAAACUGGUGUUACUCGCAGCCGGAAUCCCGAAAGCCACAAGAAACUCGAACCCGGACACGAAUUUCACGCCAACGACAGUGGAAUAGGCAACAUAACGUAUUGGCACAAGUGAGGAGCUGAAUGAGUCACCACAAUACACCAAGUAGCUGUUCUUCCAGCGACAGCUGCAGUACGGCAGCAAUCAACACUGAAAAGCGAAACAAGCUCCAGUGAAAACACAAAGUGCCGAUCAAGAGCCUCGGUCAGAGUGUCAGUAAGGAGUGCUCGCAUCAUUGUCUCCUGUGUAUUUCUCCCAUUUCGUUAUAAGCUACCAGUGCUUGUUUGUGUUGCACAUGUUUAAGCCAGUGUAGUCACACAAGUAUAUCCAAUGUUUAUUUAAUACUAUAUUGUACACAGUAUUUAUUAGUACUCAUUCCUAAUAUACACAAUAUUUAUCAAAGCGCAUUGUUUUAAAUUACGUAAUGUAAUGUAGGAUGUCAUUUCGUUCUUACACUCUCGGACUGUUUAUUGUCUGAACACGAGAUUCAUGCAAAAUAAUUUCAACGUUAAUCUGGCUGUUAUCAAUUCUGAGCUCUGUCAACAUCUUGCUGACUGUCACAGUUGUUGUGCUGACAUUUACUCAGCCUUCGUGUUGAGGAAAGAAAGAAAUUGGGGCAAAACCUUUCUUCUUGAACAAGUGGAAGUUGCAAGUAGGGAUAAUUGUGUUAUGUGUUCUCAUUUCCUUCGCUAUUGAAGUUUCUUGCUUCAAAAUGUAUUGGUAUUGAUUAAAAUAUUUUUGUUUAAGAAUCUGUCGUCGUGUGCAUUGCGUUCAUCAUGGGAUAAUCAAUCAAUCAAAUGUUUAUUGACCACCUGUUUAAAAAACAGAAUACAACAUAAGACUGUGAAGGAGCUUGGUCAGGA
Molecule: long non-coding RNA, 1105 nt
Organism: Ornithodoros turicata
Lineage: Eukaryota; Metazoa; Arthropoda; Arachnida; Ixodida; Argasidae
Exons: 3
Source: RefSeq, a predicted model, not a curated record